AACGAACGCUGGCGGCAUGCCUAACACAUGCAAGUCGAACGAACCCUUCGGGGUUAGUGGCGCACGGGUGCGUAACACGUGGAAUCUGCCCUUUGCUUCGGAAUAACAGUUAGAAAUGACUGCUAAUACCGGAUGAUGUCGUAAGACCAAAGAUUUAUCGGCAAAGGAUGAGCCCGCGUAGGAUUAGGUAGUUGGUGGGGUAAAGGCCUACCAAGCCGACGAUCCUUAGCUGGUCUGAGAGGAUGAUCAGCCACACUGGGACUGAGACACGGCCCAGACUCCUACGGGAGGCAGCAGUGGGGAAUAUUGGACAAUGGGCGAAAGCCUGAUCCAGCAAUGCCGCGUGAGUGAUGAAGGCCUUUCUGGUUGUAAAGCUCUUUUACCAGGGAUGAUAAUGACAGUACCUGGAGAAUAAGCUCCGGCUAACUCCGUGCCAGCAGCCGCGGUAAU
RNAcentral lists this ribosomal RNA (450 nucleotides) under uncultured bacterium. RNAcentral describes it as "bacterial SSU rRNA". It matches the Rfam family "Bacterial small subunit ribosomal RNA", at positions 29 to 524 of the family's 1533-position model. The record is from RNAcentral.